This 487-nucleotide ribosomal RNA is filed under the name uncultured bacterium. RNAcentral describes it as "bacterial SSU rRNA". It matches the Rfam family "Bacterial small subunit ribosomal RNA", at positions 28 to 502 of the family's 1533-position model. The record is from RNAcentral.
GAUGAACGCUAGCGGCAGGCUUAAUACAUGCAAGUUGAGGGGCAGCAUGAUAUACGCGAGUAUAUUGAUGGCGACCGGCGGACGGGUGAGUAAUAGGUAGGAGACCUACCUCAUACAGGGGGAUAGCAUAGAGAAAUCUGUGGUAAUACCCCAUGAGGUUAUAUGAAUAGAGGCAUAUAAUCAAAGCAUAAGCGAUUAUGCGGUAUGAGAGGGGCCUACUGACCAUUAGCUAGUUGGUGAGGUAAGGGCUCACCAAGGCGAAGAUGGUUAGGGGUUUUAGAGAGAGACCCCCCACAUUGGAACUGAGAGACGGUCCAGACUCCUACGGGAGGCAGCAGUAGGGAAUAUUGGGCAAUGGGCGAAAGCCUGACCCAGCCAUGCCGCGUGAAGGAGACAGCCUUAUGGGUUGUAAACUUCUUUACUACGCGAAUAGAGGUUAGUACGAGAUACUAAUAGGAAGGUAGUGUAGUAAAAGCACCGGCUAACU